ACUUUCUCAAUAUGUGCAGCGAUGGUCUGAUAAGAAGCCAAGCGUCUGGUUCGUGAGUUCACGGCCCCCGCCACGGCCAGUGCCCACUGGAGGCCAGGGCUGGGGCUCAGACCUCAGCUCAGCAUUCAGGCCUGCCUGGGAAACGGCUCUGUGCAGUGCCAGGGCCUCUACUUCCCAGUUCUCCUGGCAUUUGCAAACCACCUCCAUCCUCAGGACUGACACCUCCCACCGUCAGGCGACCCCAAAGGCUGAGUCCACUCAGUGCAACGCGAGCGCCCCCUCCGGCCGGCGGUCCCCAGCCCCCCGCGCUGCUCGCUCAGCCCCACAAUGCGCCCUUGUACCGGGCCUGCAGCCAGGCCGGGGGAUUUGGCGCAAGGAUCGGGGCAAUAUUCGUCAGAUAUUUAAAACAGAGCCGAGAGAACAAAGUGGGUCUUUGUGCUGCCGGGCGGCCGGGAGCGGAGAGGCGCUGCCCACCCCCCAGCCCUGCGCACUCGGCUCGGCGCGGAGCGCGCUCCCGCGCGGGUUCCCAAACAUUUUCCAGCCAGAGCGCGAGGCGAAGCGUUAACCCUUCCCCGCCUGCUCCCCGCUGCGCGCUGAAAGAGAAGCUGGUUUAGUCUACUGGCCACGACGUGUUUAAUUGAAAAAAGAACUAGUCAUUUUCCAUGUUUCUGCAGGAAGCAUAGAUCAUUAAAAUAAAAUGAUAUACCAAUUGGGAAUCCAGGUUUCAAAUGACUGGGAAUAAUAGGACGCCUGGGCCGUGUAAAAACCAAGUCUUUUGGAAAAGACGCCUUCUUUGGAUGCAAGAAGUGAAAUCUAUUUGAAGGAAUGAGCCUCUUCUGUCUUGUUUAUGCUGGGUGACCGGCCCUUCCUUUUCCUGCUUAUUGCCAGUUGGGAUUUGGAAGAUAUGUUGGUUUAUUGUCAAAGUCUUGGUUUUUGUUUUGGGUUGUGAGCUGGAUGGCAUUUAUUUAUUUUUAAAAAUAACCGAAUGACUUAGAUACAAGUGAAGUGUUUGUGGUGUAGGGAUCGUGUCGUGAACCAAGAAAUAGAAUUAAUUCAGUUUUUUAUGGAUGCACAUUCACGAGAGCAAGAGAGAAUACAGUUGCUACGGAGCUCUUCUGCUGGCUUGGGAUUUGCUUUUAAUAAUUUCCAGCCUUUCUGCUUUUUUCUCCGUUGAAAUACCUGUCGCUGUGUGGCUUGCAAGUGAUAUGUUUGCUACUUCCCCAGACUGUGAGGGCCUCUGCUGUGGUCAUCAGUGCUUAGUUUAUGGGCCUUCUCUUGGCCGCCACUUCUUUAUCAAAACUGAUUCUGAAGAGUCCUGCUGUUGGCCGUGACAAAGCAACAGGAUCCAGAUUUAUCCUCUCAUUGUAAACAACUGGAAAAGGGAACAACGUAAUGUACUGAUGGCUUCAGAUAUUGCACAACAGGCUAGGCAGGACUGUAAUCUCUCAGAUAAAGGAAACAAAUGAGGUGAGUCCUCUGAUCGCCCCAGUUUCUGAUUGGAGGCAGAGUUUGGACUUCCCAACAGGAAA
Cavia porcellus (domestic guinea pig) is the source of this 1529-nucleotide long non-coding RNA. RefSeq lists it as uncharacterized. The record is from RefSeq and is a predicted model, not a curated record. NCBI's taxonomy places the organism in Eukaryota, Metazoa, Chordata, Mammalia, Rodentia, Caviidae. The transcript is spliced from 2 exons.